GAUGAACGCUGGCGGCGUGCCUAAUACAUGCAAGUCGAGCGAACGGACGAGAAGCUUGCUUCUCUGAUGUUAGCGGCGGACGGGUGAGUAACACGUGGAUAACCUACCUAUAAGACUGGGAUAACUUCGGGAAACCGGAGCUAAUACCGGAUAAUAUUUUGAACCGCAUGGUUCAAAAGUGAAAGACGGUCUUGCUGUCACUUAUAGAUGGAUCCGCGCUGCAUUAGCUAGUUGGUAAGGUAACGGCUUACCAAGGCAACGAUGCAUAGCCGACCUGAGAGGGUGAUCGGCCACCCUGGAACUGAGACACGGUCCAGACUCCUACGGGAGGCAGCAGUAGGGAAUCUUCCGCAAUGGGCGAAAGCCUGACGGAGCAACGCCGCGUGAGUGAUGAAGGUCUUCGGAUCGUAAAACUCUGUUAUUAGGGAAGAACAUAUGUGUAAGUAACUGAGCACAUCUUGACGGUACCUAAUCAGAAAGCCACGGCUAACUACGUG
RNAcentral lists this ribosomal RNA (497 nucleotides) under uncultured bacterium. Its description in RNAcentral is "partial 16S ribosomal RNA". It matches the Rfam family "Bacterial small subunit ribosomal RNA", at positions 28 to 507 of the family's 1533-position model. The record is from RNAcentral.